This 399-nucleotide ribosomal RNA is filed under the name uncultured bacterium. Its description in RNAcentral is "bacterial SSU rRNA". It matches the Rfam family "Bacterial small subunit ribosomal RNA", at positions 362 to 776 of the family's 1533-position model. The record is from RNAcentral.
UCUUCCACAAUGGGGGCAACCCUGAUGGAGCAACGCCGCGUGCAGGAUGAAGGCCUUCGGGUUGUAAACUGCUUUUAUGAGUGAAGAAUAUGACGGUAACUCAUGAAUAAGCACCGGCUAACUACGUGCCAGCAGCCGCGGUCAUACGUAGGGUGCAAGCAUUAUCCGGAGUGACUGGGCGUAAAGAGUUGCGUAGGCGGCUUAAUAAGUGAAUAGUGAAAGCUGGUGGCUCAACCACACAGACUAUUAUUCAAACUGUUAAGCUCGAGAAUGGUAGAGGUAACUGGAAUUUCUUGUGUAGGAGUGAAAUCCGUAGAUAUAAGAAGGAACACCAAUGGCGUAGGCAGGUUACUGGACCAUUUCUGACGCUAAGGCACGAAAGCGUGGGGAGCGAACCGG